Molecule: long non-coding RNA, 2162 nt
Organism: Felis catus (domestic cat)
Lineage: Eukaryota; Metazoa; Chordata; Mammalia; Carnivora; Felidae
Exons: 2
Source: RefSeq, a predicted model, not a curated record
CACGACGUGAUCUGUCCCUCAUCCCUCAUCCAUCCCUCGCUGCCAGCUCGGGACCAUGCCGGGGCUUGAGUUUCUGGAACCUUCCCUGUUGUGACCCAUGAGCAUCCUCGAUAGUGACUGUCCCCGGGCUACACGGUGGCCAAGGCUAGGCCUGCUUCCCCAGCCGCUUCGGGGCUGUGUUGGCCGCUGCCUCCUCGGUGCAGGGAGACAGGUGAGGGAGCCGUUCCUGCCCAGGCAGCCCCCCGGGGGUAGGAGCCCAGGGACGAACAGGCUGUGUUCAAACCCACCGCCACCUGCCACCCGGGACCUCUCUGGACCUCAGAUUCCUCCCAGCUCCGAGCGUGGAUGAAGGACCUACCACCUGGAGAGUGGAGAACAUUCCGGGCCCCCCGGGGGGCUCGUACUUUCCGCCAUCGACGAGGUAUGGCUAACAUCCCCGUGUCUCAGACACUUGGAUCCCUGCCCAAGGUCGACAGAGGGAGGGGGGUCGCGGAGGCAGACAUUCGGCAAGGGGCACACACCCUGGAGACCCUCCCGCCUGGGAGCGCGGGUGGUGGCCCUGGCUUCAGGAGGGGCCCGGCCGCUUCCACGCCACCCGUCACGACCCGGAGCGGCCCCACUACUCCUUUUCCGAAGAAGCCCAGAUCCAAACCUGCACAUCACCCCACUUCCCUUGAGGAAACAAGCCAGUGAGCCCCACAGAGAACUCAGAACUUCCUGGCCUUCAGCCAAACCCACAGAAGCUUGGCUGCUGACCCGGGCCAUCCUAAUCCUCAGGCAGUUCCUGGCCCUCCCUCCUUGGGACACUUCUCCCUUAGAUAUCCUCGCCGCCUCUCGCCCCCACCCCCACCCCCCUUUCAUGGCCCUGGGGUCUGCACUGUCACAAUCCCCUCUUGCAGACACUGUCCCCACGGCCCAGCCCUUACGGGGCCGGCGUCUCCCAUUUGGAAAGCCCAGAGCCCGGCCCCCCCAGCCUGUAUACAGCAGCCGCCCCAUGAAUGCGCAUCAGAAGGCCGAAGGAAGCAGGGGCAGGGCUGGGCCCGGAGGCCCACAUCCGAGGGACUUUGGAAAGCGGAUCCCCCAGCCCCCGCGGCGACACAGGCAAAAACCAUCCAGCACCCAGGGGAAGCUGGGCCGGCCGGCUGCUGGGAGGGGAGGGCUACGCACACCUCAGCUCCAAGAAACAGACGCGGGCAGGGAGCUGGAGCCGCGCACGUCUGACUCCUCACCCCCAGAACAGCCCCGAGCGUCUGUCCGUCGGUAAAAGGCCGGCCGAGCACCACGCGGAAUCCCGCAGAGAAACAUCGCUCGGCAACGAAGAGAACAAACACGGACACACGUGGCAACCUGGACAAACAUCAGGACGGAAGGUCGCGCAAAGGCAGCCAGACACACAGGGGCAGGUGGCUCCGUGAGGCUCCGGGGGCCGGCGCGCCUCCCCUAGGAAACGCCCAGAAGCACGGAGAGAGAGCAGGCCCGGAACAGGCCGCCAGCACCGGCCACGGGGGCCGAGACGUGGAAACCACCCAGGCGAGCGUCGCGGAGGCACGGGCUCACAGCCCACGCCACGCGCACACACAGCCGUCAGGGAACGAAACCCCGACGCGCGCUGCGACACGCGUGGUCCCCGGGGACGUUACGCUCCGCCCGCGAAGCCCAUCACAGACCGCAGACGGGCAGGUCCCGAAGGAUGCCACCCCCGGAGACCCUGCACUGGUCGGAUUCCGACUCGCGGGCCGAUGGGGACAGAGUUCGCGUUUGGGGUGACGGAAAAGGCCUGGAGGCGGGCGGUGGCGAGGGUCGCGCCACAGUGAAGACGUGCUUCACGCUGCUGAACUGACCGCGUAAACCCAGAUGAGACGCUACGUUUCGUUUCGGCUGUUUUGCCACCAAGUCAAAAGGAGGAGAGACCCUAGCCUGGAGUCAAGGAAGGUCAUCAGUGGCCACCUGGCUGGGGUGGAGAGAGACUGGGUAGGUGCACCUGGGAAGGAACUUUCUGGAGAGAGGGCCACGUGCUGCACGAGGACCAGGGCGGCGGGAGCACAGACAGAUGCCUGUGUCAGAGGCCAAUGACCACAACUCUCGAGAUGCCUGUAGUUUACCGGACGCAAACCAUAUCCGAUAAAGUUGAUUCUGAAAGUAAGAACAAAACAAACUUUGAA